Molecule: long non-coding RNA, 307 nt
Organism: Salvia miltiorrhiza (redroot sage)
Lineage: Eukaryota; Viridiplantae; Streptophyta; Magnoliopsida; Lamiales; Lamiaceae
Exons: 3
Source: RefSeq, a predicted model, not a curated record
AGGGUGAACAUUGAAGGAGUUGAUAUUAGUUGUUACCUUUGAACUUUAAGAGCUACCUGGUGACCUAUCUUUUUGUUGACUUUUCCUCGGGUUAACUUCUGACUGGGACAUUUCUAUCAGGGUGCAGGUAAGUCUGCUGUAUUAAAUAGUCUAAUUGGGCAUCCUGCAUUGCCAACUGGGGAAGGUGGUGCUACUCGUGCUCCCAUAGUUGUUGAUUUAACAAGGGAUGCCUCCAUGAGCAGCAAAUCAAUCAUUUUGCAGAUUGAUAGUACAUCUCAGCAAGUUUCUGCAAGUGCUCUCCGGCAUU